AUGUCUCCAAUUUUUUUUCAGACGUCCAUAAUACUCCGUUUGCAUCUGUUUUACGAUGGCAGACAGUUUUGUGUGGGUGUACUGUUUUACGAUGGGAUUUGUGUGUGUGUGUGUGUGUGUGUGUGUGUGUGUGUGUGUGUGUACUUUUUGCAUCUGUUUUAUGAUGGCAGACAGCUUUGCCAUCCGUUUCAUAAGUUUGCAGAAUACUACUCCCUCCGUUUUACGAUGGCAGACAGUUUUACAGAGCGAGUAGAUUUUCUCCCUUUGAUAGGUCUCUGUGUUAAUUGCCACUUAAUAAAUCAACUAAAGCAAGAUGCAUCUAUAUAG
This 327-nucleotide ribosomal RNA is filed under the name Triticum aestivum (bread wheat). RNAcentral describes it as "partial small subunit ribosomal RNA". Lineage: Eukaryota; Viridiplantae; Streptophyta; Magnoliopsida; Poales; Poaceae. The record is from RNAcentral.